This 492-nucleotide ribosomal RNA is filed under the name uncultured bacterium. Its description in RNAcentral is "partial 16S ribosomal RNA". It matches the Rfam family "Bacterial small subunit ribosomal RNA", at positions 29 to 507 of the family's 1533-position model. The record is from RNAcentral.
AGUGAACGCUGGCGGUAGGCCUAACACAUGCAAGUCGAACGGCAGCACAGUAAGAGCUUGCUCUUACGGGUGGCGAGUGGCGGACGGGUGAGGAAUACAUCGGAAUCUACUUUUUCGUGGGGGAUAACGUAGGGAAACUUACGCUAAUACCGCAUACGACCUACGGGUGAAAGCAGGGGAUCUUCGGACCUUGCGCGAUUGAAUGAGCCGAUGUCGGAUUAGCUAGUUGGCGGGGUAAAGGCCCACCAAGGCGACGAUCCGUAGCUGGUCUGAGAGGAGGAUCAGCCACACUGGAACUGAGACACGGUCCAGACUCCUACGGGAGGCAGCAGUGGGGAAUAUUGGACAAUGGGCGCAAGCCUGAUCCAGCCAUACCGCGUGGGUGAAGAAGGCCUUCGGGUUGGAAAGCCCUUUUGUUGGGAAAGAAAAGCAGCAGGUUAAGACCCCGCUGUUCUGACGGUACCCAAAGAAUAAGCACCGGCUAACUUCGUG